UACGGAGGGUGCAAGCGUUAUCCGGAAUCACUGGGUUUAAAGGGUGCGUAGGCGGCUAGAUAAGUCAGAGGUGAAAGUUUGUCGCUUAACGAUAGAACUGCCUUUGAUACUGUUAAGCUUGAAAGUAGGUUAGGUUGGCGGAAUGUGACAUGUAGCGGUGAAAUGCAUAGAUAUGUCAUAGAACACCGAUUGCGAAGGCAGCCGGCUAACUUGAAUUUGACGCUGAGGCACGAAAGCGUGGGUAGCGAACAGG
RNAcentral lists this ribosomal RNA (253 nucleotides) under uncultured bacterium. Its description in RNAcentral is "partial 16S ribosomal RNA". It matches the Rfam family "Bacterial small subunit ribosomal RNA", at positions 524 to 776 of the family's 1533-position model. The record is from RNAcentral.